CUUAUCAUCAAUAUCAGACAUCCAUCUUAAUCUCAAAUGAAAGGAAAUUUUCAUAAACAAGCAAUAAAAAAGAACACAAUAAAAAUGAUAAUACAUUGCAUUGCACCAUCUCAAAUAUAUGUGCCAGAAUCACAAAAGCUGGCAGAAGAAAUUUUUAGCAGAAAAUUACCCUUGUACAGCAUGAUAUCUAAAUGCCACCUCCAGAAGCUCCUGAACACUCAGCAACAUCCUCUACCCUUAUUAUUGCUAAUUGUUGGACCAUUUUACCUCUAUCUGCUGAGCCAUCCAAAGCCCUGUUUAGCCUCUUUAGCCAAACAUCAUAAUCGACUGGAUAUGGAGUUCCACAAAGGCUAUCAACAUAAUCAGCAAACGCCUUUAAAAGAGCUGAAACCUCACCAAGUUGCUGUUGAAUUGAACGGUUUGCCCAGCUUCUCUCUCUCCAUUGCAAGGCAGAUUCAAUAGAAUCCUGUUGCUGCAUAGGCCCUCCACAGACAAAAUAGAGGAGAUAAAUAAGGCUUUCAGCAUCAGAUGAUGGACAAAACUUCCCAUGCUGAAGUGCGUGCGAUGAAGAGAACUGUAGAUUUAUUCCUGGGCUGUCCCUGUCUUCCAGAACUGCUCGUCCCCAGGAAAUUGGCAUAUAAAAGAAUCUGUUUCUUACCCCGAGGGAGUACAUUUCCAACUAGGCAGUCUCGGCAGUAGCGAACUGCCUCCUCCGAAGAAAAUGAGUUAUCCUGAGCAACUACUGAAGAGAGUUGCUCCCCAACUGGACAUGUCACAAGUAUUGGCGUUCCACACCAUGGAUGAUUACAACAAUCCCCAGGGCUCUACUUCUUACAUAGACCAGGAUGCAAAAUUCGGCCAGUGGCAAUUAUUUCUGGCAAAUAUUUGCUUGUAAUUCCUCUCUGCUUCAAGAUGUUUAGUACUUUUGUUUGCCUCUGUACUUGGUACCACAAACUCAUACCUUCCCAAGAUGGCUCUAGCCUAUGAGGAUGGGCACCCACAUAUAAAGUCAAUAACUCUGUCGGAUGAUCCAGAGAAACAGCACUAUAGAGAAAAUAGUUCCCUCCGACUAAAGACUUCUGAAUUUGAAAACUCUUAUGGCCCUGCUGCUGGUCCUCCAGCAGCAAUACUUCACCCUGCCUAAGCUUCAAACACAAUGAUUGCUUUCUAGAAGGAUCAUCACUUUGGUUAAAUUGUACUAUCUCUCCUUGAUGUCCCAUCUGUUGGAAAUGUACCGAGGUAGUUUUACCUUGACUAAGGGAGCACUCUGUCCUACGCUUCUGAAGACGUAGACUAUAAUCUAAGACCAAUGAAGCAAUUGAUUUUCUUGGUGGUCCAUUCCAUUGGAAAAUGUAAUAGAAAGUUGCCAGAAGUACUUGCAGAGUUCCUAUGUUCCCCCAAUUUGCACUGCCUAACUUAUUCCACACCUGGUCAACAGGGGAAACUCUAACUUCGGCAUGACGUUUGAUCCAUUCAGUAACAGAUUGGUAUGGAUUAGUUGACUUCAAUUCAAGUGUACUAAGAUCACCUCCAAGCUUCACCACACUAGCAAAUUUAGAAUCAAAAAAGAAAAACAGAAUCACUGUCACUUGUGUUGAGCUUGCUCAAACUCCUAGCAAUUAGUAUAUGAAUGCCAUAGAAGAGGGCUUCACAUAUGUAGCUGGUAGAUAAUUUUAACUCAUUACCGGACAGUAUAUCUGGUCUAAAUGAGGAAAGCUCCACCACUUGACCCCAAUGAACUUGUGGAUUAGUCCCAAUUUUUGAUAUCAAAGCUAAACCACAAAGCUCUUCAAGCCUUCCCCUUGAUAUUGCCUUCUGUACAGUGUAAAACUUUGAUCCAGGACGAAAGGGACAAGAUAAAAUGAAUGGCAGUGGCCGACUUUUGUGCCAAAAUGUACGCCAUAGACCAUUAACAACAGCAUGAAGAAAAUCUUCUAUUGCAAAAUAUUCAUCUUCUUUUGAAUCAUCAGAAGCAUAUGGUGAGCAUGGCAUAUGGAAUAGUUGCUGAAACAGCACCCCUUCCAAUGCUAAAUCAAGCUUGCGCAAUUCGUCAAUUGAGAAGGGAGAUGUGAAAGAUUGGUCACUGAUUGUAUCUUCAUGAAAAUUUUCCAAAACCCAAUCCUCAAGACUCUGUUUAAAUGACUCUAGGUUGGCAAGUUUCCUUCCAUAGUCUUUUAGUGCCUUGAGCACUCUUCUAGAAGUAGGAAUGAACUUGCUUGAAGCGGAAACGCUAGAUACACUAUGGGUAGAGAUAACAGCAUCCAACAGAAAUCCAUUUCAUAUUAACUGUGAACUUUAACAAGUAGCAGAAAAUAGACAGAUGUAUAAUAGAGAACAAAGUACCUUCUAAAGGAAAUGUAAAAGGGGUAAAGAAAAAUUAAAAGACUAAUCACUAUUACAAACCAGAGCUAGACUUCCUGAAAAUUCCAUCCAAACUCUGUCCAUGAUAUAAGUCCUCCAAAUCAUUUUGUGAAAACCCUGAGCCAUAAUAAUCCCAUUUGUGAAAUUUGAUAGCAUGGCAAGCUAUGCUGGAGAGAGAGAGAAUGCAUUAGAACAGUGGGAAAUUGAUGGUAAAUUUUGGGUAAAUUGCAGUUUAGUCCUUGAUAUUUGACAAAACCUAUUACUUAGUCCUUGUAUUUUCAAAACCAAGCAAUCCUUGUAUUUUCAAAACCAAGCAAUUUAAUUCCUGAGAUUUGGCAAAACCUACAAUUUAGCCCCUCCAUCCAAUUUUCUGUCUAAUUACCAAUGACCAAAAUGUCCUUAACUCUAUAUUUUCUAACAAAAAUGAUUUAGUCCCUAAAUUUUUGUGUUAUAAACAAAAUAGUCCCUUGAUUGAAACUUUAUAAACAAAAUAUUCCCUUAAUUUAAUGUUAUUUUAGCCAUUUUUGAUAUAAUUAAUGGUAAAUUGAAUGGAAAAUUGAAAGGGCUAAAUUGUAGGUUUUGCAACCUUAGGGACUAAAUUGCUUGGUUUUGAAAACACAAGGACUAAGUUGUAGGUUUUAUCAAACCUCAGUGGCUAAAAUGUAGUUUACCUUAUUUUGUCAUAUGGUAAAUAGUAGUUUAUGAAAGAGGAAAAUAUAAAUAGUAGUUUAUGAAAGAGGAAAAUAUUUACUGCAAAACAAAAUGGCAGAAAGACAAUAAGUCCAAAAGCAAGAUCUUUGCUUCUAAUAACAAACUGCAUAUGCCCCUUCAUGUAAAUCAGAAAAUUGACAGCAAAAUAGGUACUUGAAGUAAGAGAGGCCUAAAACAAAUUAUGGACAGCAUGGUUAACAACUACAGCCAUAUACCUAAAUUAAUAUUCUAUAUGAAGUAAAACUAUGACACUUUAAUGGUAGCACAGUCAUUCAUCACUGCUGCGAUAGCAAUCAAAUAAAUGUCUUUGGAUUUAGCAAUGCUCCCCUUGAGUCAGCCACUUUCUUACAAGUCUGAUGCAACCCAUCAUAUUUUUUCUGAAGUUUCAAAACUGCUAAUGUUUCUUUCUUAAUAAACUUUUUUUACCUUUUUAACCAAUAAAUAAAAUUCAAGACAGUUGGCUUGAAAUUUAUCAAAACCAUCCAGAAUAAUGCAGCAAGGGAGGAGCACAAUAUAUAUCGAUAUAGAGGAGUUAUAAACAUAAAAUUGCAUUAUUAUUAUGUAUGACACUUGAACACAUGGGCAAUCUCAUUACUAUAGACCACUAUCAAUUUCAGAACUACAGUCAGAAAUGCAAUUUUUUUUUAGCAGACCAUUUGUGAAAAAGCAAAAAGGUGAAGAUACAAAGGCUCUAGCAGCUGGAGAGAAAAGUAAGAGGGUUAUAAGCACAUGGUUUGUUUAUUUAUUGAUGAAUUAUUGUCCAAUCAAUGCAAUAAGUUGAAAAGCAUCAAAUUUAAGGAAUUUUUAUACUUUUUAACAAAAAAAGAUGAGACAAAACAAUCACACUUAAGAACAUCAAAUUUAAUUCUGGGUUGAUUAUCUACAUCUCCAUGCCAAAUCCAUUAUAUUAGUAAAGGGUUUCAACCAAGGCUAGGUCAAAGAUCUGGAAAUUAAGAAUGUCAAUAGGUGAACAUACCUCCAUUACAUUGCAAACAAUCACAUGAAUUAUCUAAACUCAUCAAAGGGUGAAAAUGUUAAACCUUUCAGUAUUUUAUGCUAUAACUUUGAACUACCACAAACUGACAAAAGUUUCUGCAUUUGAUUUCCAUUAAUAAAUAUAAGCACAGGCACAGCUACGAUUAAACUUCAAACCCUUAGAUGAAGUGUUCCUAACAAAAAGUCCAAAUAUCCACUUAAACACAGCACAAAUAUGUGUAUCAUCAUAAACAAAAUGAUGUAAAUAAUAGUGUUCACGAUUAGAUAAGUGAAUCUAAAUAGAUUAUGAUCUUAUUGACGCAGCAUGUACGGAAAAUUAUCGACACAUGAUCAAACCCUUGAGAAUAAAUAAGAUCUAAUACAAGAUUUUAAGAAACACAAUAUUCAAUUCAGAAUCUAAGAAGAAAAUAACACAAACCAGUUUUAUUAAGAAGAAAAUUUCAUUAAAAUAA
Molecule: unclassified non-coding RNA, 4520 nt
Filed under: Hevea brasiliensis (rubber tree)
Lineage: Eukaryota; Viridiplantae; Streptophyta; Magnoliopsida; Malpighiales; Euphorbiaceae
Source: RNAcentral